AUGAGUGCUAAGGUAAGGAAGCUAACCGAGCCUAGGAGGAUCCACUUAGGUAGCUGGAACAUAGGGUCGCUGACAGGUAAGCUUCGGGAGCUAGUUGAUACAAUGGUGAGGAGAGAUGUUGAUAUCCUUUGCUUCCAAGAAACCAAAUGGAGGGGGCAGAUGGCGAAGGAGGUGGAGGAUACCGGCUUCAAGCUAUGGUACACGAGGACAGCUGCAAACAGAAAUAGAGUAGGCAUCUUAGUCAACAAGAGCCUCAAGUAUGGAGUGGUAGACGUCAAGAGACGUGGGGACCGGAUUAUACUGGUCAAGCUGGUAGUUGGGACCUGUUCUCAAUGUUAUCAGCGCAUAUGCCCCACAAGUAGGCCACAACGAGAACACCAAGAGGAAGUUCUAGGAAGGCCUGGAGGACAUGGUUAG
This 417-nucleotide ribosomal RNA is filed under the name Triticum aestivum (bread wheat). Its description in RNAcentral is "partial small subunit ribosomal RNA". Lineage: Eukaryota; Viridiplantae; Streptophyta; Magnoliopsida; Poales; Poaceae. The record is from RNAcentral.